RNAcentral lists this ribosomal RNA (254 nucleotides) under uncultured bacterium. Its description in RNAcentral is "partial 16S ribosomal RNA". It matches the Rfam family "Bacterial small subunit ribosomal RNA", at positions 524 to 776 of the family's 1533-position model. The record is from RNAcentral.
CACGUAGGGCGCAAGCGUUGUCCGGAAUUAUUGGGCGUAAAGAGCUCGUAGGCGGUUUGUCGCGUCUGCUGUGAAAACUGGGGGCUCAACCCCCAGCCUGCAGUGGGUACGGGCAGACUAGAGUGCGGUAGGGGAGAUUGGAAUUCCUGGUGUAGCGGUGGAAUGCGCAGAUAUCAGGAGGAACACCGAUGGCGAAGGCAGAUCUCUGGGCCGUAACUGACGCUGAGGAGACGAAAGCAUGGGGAGCGAACAGG